This 222-nucleotide long non-coding RNA is filed under the name Carica papaya (papaya). Its description in RNAcentral is "long non-coding RNA (CPAP_LNC006524)". The record is from RNAcentral. Lineage: Eukaryota; Viridiplantae; Streptophyta; Magnoliopsida; Brassicales; Caricaceae.
AGAUGAGGAGAAGAAGAUCUCCACUAAACUGAGCAGCCCGGGAGGGUUCACUUCGAGAGUAUGUUGAUGAACUUUUUGAAAUGUUAGAGAGUCUCGUUGCUGCCCAGCAGACCCAGGAGGAAAGAAGGGAGCUACCUGACCUUCCCUUGCUGCCACAAUUUAAGCCAUUCCUGCAGUAGGAGGAUCUUGAGCCACCCCGAUACAACCAUACUCCUCCACAAU